Molecule: ribosomal RNA, 484 nt
Filed under: uncultured bacterium
Lineage: Bacteria
Description: partial 16S ribosomal RNA
Rfam family: Bacterial small subunit ribosomal RNA
Source: RNAcentral
AUUGAACGCUGGCGGCAGGCCUAACACAUGCAAGUCGAGCGGAUGAAGGGAGAUUGCUCCUGGAUUCAGCGGCGGACGGGUGAGUAAUGCCUAGGAAUCUGCCUGGUAGUGGGGGAUAACGUAAGGAAACGGGCGCUAAUAUCGCAUACGUCCUGAGGGAGAAAGUGGGGGAUCUUCGGACCUCAAGCUAUCAGAUGAGCCUAGGUCGGAUUAGCUAGUUGGUGGGGUAAAGGCCUACCAAGGCGACGAUCCGUAACUGGUCUGAGAGGAUGAUCAGUCACACUGGAACUGAGACACGGUCCAGACUCCUACGGGAGGCAGCAGUAGGGAAUAUUGGACAAUGGGCGAAAGCCUGAUCCAGCCAUGCCGCGUGUGUGAAGAAGGUCUUCGGAUUGUAAAGCACUUUAAGUUGGGAGGAAGGGCAGUAAGUUAAUACCUUGCUGUUUUGACGUUACCAACAGAAUAAGCACCGGCUAACUUCGUG